This 1500-nucleotide ribosomal RNA is filed under the name Bacillus sp. TS1(2011). RNAcentral describes it as "bacterial SSU rRNA". It matches the Rfam family "Bacterial small subunit ribosomal RNA". Lineage: Bacteria; Bacillati; Bacillota; Bacilli; Caryophanales; Bacillaceae. The record is from RNAcentral.
UUUUUUUUUAUUUUUUUUUCCCAGGACGAACGCUGGCGGCGUGCCUAAUACAUGCAAGUCGAGCGGACAGAAGGGAGCUUGCUCCCGGAUGUUAGCGGCGGACGGGUGAGUAACACGUGGGUAACCUGCCUGUAAGACUGGGAUAACUCCGGGAAACCGGAGCUAAUACCGGAUAGUUCCUUGAACCGCAUGGUUCAAGGAUGAAAGACGGUUUCGGCUGUCACUUACAGAUGGACCCGCGGCGCAUUAGCUAGUUGGUGGGGUAAUGGCUCACCAAGGCGACGAUGCGUAGCCGACCUGAGAGGGUGAUCGGCCACACUGGGACUGAGACACGGCCCAGACUCCUACGGGAGGCAGCAGUAGGGAAUCUUCCGCAAUGGACGAAAGUCUGACGGAGCAACGCCGCGUGAGUGAUGAAGGUUUUCGGAUCGUAAAGCUCUGUUGUUAGGGAAGAACAAGUGCGAGAGUAACUGCUCGCACCUUGACGGUACCUAACCAGAAAGCCACGGCUAACUACGUGCCAGCAGCCGCGGUAAUACGUAGGUGGCAAGCGUUGUCCGGAAUUAUUGGGCGUAAAGGGCUCGCAGGCGGUUUCUUAAGUCUGAUGUGAAAGCCCCCGGCUCAACCGGGGAGGGUCAUUGGAAACUGGGAAACUUGAGUGCAGAAGAGGAGAGUGGAAUUCCACGUGUAGCGGUGAAAUGCGUAGAGAUGUGGAGGAACACCAGUGGCGAAGGCGACUCUCUGGUCUGUAACUGACGCUGAGGAGCGAAAGCGUGGGGAGCGAACAGGAUUAGAUACCCUGGUAGUCCACGCCGUAAACGAUGAGUGCUAAGUGUUAGGGGGUUUCCGCCCCUUAGUGCUGCAGCUAACGCAUUAAGCACUCCGCCUGGGGAGUACGGUCGCAAGACUGAAACUCAAAGGAAUUGACGGGGGCCCGCACAAGCGGUGGAGCAUGUGGUUUAAUUCGAAGCAACGCGAAGAACCUUACCAGGUCUUGACAUCCUCUGACAACCCUAGAGAUAGGGCUUUCCCUUCGGGGACAGAGUGACAGGUGGUGCAUGGUUGUCGUCAGCUCGUGUCGUGAGAUGUUGGGUUAAGUCCCGCAACGAGCGCAACCCUUGAUCUUAGUUGCCAGCAUUCAGUUGGGCACUCUAAGGUGACUGCCGGUGACAAACCGGAGGAAGGUGGGGAUGACGUCAAAUCAUCAUGCCCCUUAUGACCUGGGCUACACACGUGCUACAAUGGACAGAACAAAGGGCUGCAAGACCGCAAGGUUUAGCCAAUCCCAUAAAUCUGUUCUCAGUUCGGAUCGCAGUCUGCAACUCGACUGCGUGAAGCUGGAAUCGCUAGUAAUCGCGGAUCAGCAUGCGCGGGGUGGAUAUACGUUUCCCGGGCCUUGUACCACACCGCCCGUCACACCACGAGAGUUUGCAACACCCGAAGUCGGUGAGGUAACCUUUAUGGAGCCAGCCGCCGAAGGUGGGGCAGAUGAUUGGGGUG